CACAGGGACAUCAACAGAUACUGCAAGUUCCUCUGGAGGAAUUCAAGUGUGAUUAAUCACAACAGAUGUGGUCGAGCAAACAGGAAGUACAGAGCAGAGACUUGUCUGGGUGUGACGAUCCCGGACGAUCACCUGGCAGGAUGUGAUAUUUAUCCCGAAGCCCACUCCACUCUCAGGACUGUCCUCCGACCUGAUGGUGCGGGACUGGUCGACACUGAUUUCUUGCUUUACCUGCUCGUACAGGCCACCGACAAGUGCAAAGCCCAGGUAAACGCAAAGAUCUUUGGUCUUUAGACGGUUUGUGGUGUCAUAUUUCAUGACUUUCUCUUUGCCAGCAGGACUUGUUGGCCUACGCCGUCCACUGUCAGACAGACACUCAGGGAAGACCAGUGGCUGGCGUUGUGAUUGUCUGCAAGAACAGACUGACCGCAACCACCUACAGCCACCAGACUGCAGUACAGACUCUUACUCACGAGUUGUUUCAUGUGCUCGGUUUCUCCAAAGAUCUCUUUAACACCUGGAAAGACUGCUCCUCCUCCUCAUCGCAAGGUUUUGUUUGACACACACUCAUUGUAAAGCAGGAUCCACAUUAUGCUCAUGUUCAGCUUUAAUAUCAAUCAAAAAACAACCAACCAAACUAACCAUCAGUCAUCAACCAACCAACCAACCAACCAACCAAUCAACUAACCAACCACACUACCAAGCAACUAACCAGUCAGUAAACCAACCAACCAAAUGACUAGUUAACUACAGUAUUUAACCAACCAACCGACUGACGGACCAAGCAACUAAACUACCAAUCAAGUAACCAAACCACUAGUCAAACAACCAAUGAACUAACCACUCAACUAACCAACUAACCAACCAGGGCAACUGUACCUAAAAAGCCCAACCCGAGGAUUUUCCUGUGCCAGUAACUCUUACCAUUCUACCAACAUCUCAUCAACCAUGAAGUUCUGAUGACUGAUUGACUGACUUCCAAACCAAUUAUACCAAAUACUUAAAGCCAUCAGUCAGUCAUAAUGCUGUGAACCUGGUGGCUUCUGUUCCAGUUAAUAAACCUUUGAGCUGGUACGCUCA
RNAcentral lists this long non-coding RNA (1080 nucleotides) under Gouania willdenowi (blunt-snouted clingfish). Its description in RNAcentral is "lncRNA (ENSGWIG00000014112.1)". Lineage: Eukaryota; Metazoa; Chordata; Actinopteri; Blenniiformes; Gobiesocidae. The record is from RNAcentral.